Molecule: long non-coding RNA, 533 nt
Organism: Lates calcarifer (barramundi perch)
Lineage: Eukaryota; Metazoa; Chordata; Actinopteri; Centropomidae
Exons: 2
Source: RefSeq, a predicted model, not a curated record
CGACCCCGCUUCCUUUUACAGUAGCGGAUAGUCGAGUAUCGGUGGAUAAACAGCAACACAAUAUACAGUCGAAGUGUUUUCUUUACCGGUUGUUGAACGACGUUUCACCGUUUCUCGUCUGUCAAAAAGUCAAACAGAAGUGUUUCUGAUCUUUACUAUUUUUCACAUUACGGUUAGGUUAAUAAGCUAUUUAUCCGUGUUUACAGCAGGGACGUGCGAGCAGGGGAGGCCUCACCUGUCAUCAUGUAAGGAAAUAAUGAAGAAGACUGCCUGCUUCUUCCAGGAAGGAUGAAGGUGACAUUCAGGAAGAGUCAAUCACGCCAUCUACAGCAGGACCCUUUUGAUGAAACCAAAAUCCUCACAUUUAAGGAGCUGGAACCAGAGAAUGUUUGCUUGUUUAUGACUUGUUUAUGAAUACACUGUACUGUAUAUUCACUGUAAAUUCAAUUUACUGUUCAUUUGUUUAAUAUAUUAUUUAUUUAGGUAUGUUCAGAAUUCAGCUUGUUUUUCUAUAAUAUAUCUUGAAAGUAUUA